UGGGGAAUUUUGGACAAUGGGCGAAAGCCUGAUCCAGCCAUGCCGCGUGAGUGAAGAAGGCCUUCGGGUUGUAAAGCUCUUUUAGUCGGAAAGAAAGAGUUGCAAUGAAUAAUUGUGAUUUAUGACGGUACCGACAGAAAAAGCACCGGCUAACUACGUGCCAGCAGCCGCGGUAAUACGUAGGGUGCGAGCGUUAAUCGGAAUUACUGGGCGUAAAGGGUGCGUAGGCGGACUAAUAAGUCAGUGGUGAAAGCCUGCAGCUUAACUGCAGAAUUGCCAUUGAUACUGUUAGUCUUGAGUACAGUUGAGGUAGGCGGAAUGUGUCAUGUAGCGGUGAAAUGCUUAGAUAUGACACAGAACACCGAUUGCGAAGGCAGCUUGCUAAGCUGUAACUGACGCUGAGGCACGAAAGCGUGGGGAGCAAACA
Molecule: ribosomal RNA, 427 nt
Filed under: uncultured bacterium
Lineage: Bacteria
Description: bacterial SSU rRNA
Rfam family: Bacterial small subunit ribosomal RNA
Source: RNAcentral